RNAcentral lists this long non-coding RNA (488 nucleotides) under Phasianus colchicus (ring-necked pheasant). Its description in RNAcentral is "lncRNA (ENSPCLG00000017391.1)". The record is from RNAcentral. Lineage: Eukaryota; Metazoa; Chordata; Aves; Galliformes; Phasianidae.
UGGGUCAAUCUAUGGGGCUGACAUCCCUCUAUGGGUCAAUCUAUGGGUCUGAUCUCCAUCUAUGGGUCAAUCUAUGGGUCCCUCUAUGGGUCAAUCUAUGGGUCUGAUCUCCAUCUAUGGGUCAAUCUAUGGGCCUGAUCUCCAUCUCUGGGUCAAUCUAUGGGUCCGAGGCCCCCUUAUGGGUCCCUCUAUGGGUCGAUCUAUGGGGCUGAGGUCCAUCUAUGGGUCACCCUAUGGGUCCAUCUAUGGGUCCAUCUAUGGGUCCAUCUAUGGGUCCGAUGUCCAUCUAUGGGUCCCUCUAUGGGUCAAUCUAUGGGUCCAUCUAUGGGUCUGAUUUCCAUCUAUGCGUCAAUCUAUGGGUCCGAGGCCCCCUUAUGGGUCAAUCUAUGGGUCUGAUCUCCAUCUAUGGGUCAAUCUAUGGGUCUGUGGCCCCCCUACGGGUCCCUCUAUGGGUCAAUCUAUGGGUCUGAUCUCCAUCUAUGGAUCCC